UACGUAGGGUGCGAGCGUUAAUCGGAAUUACUGGGCGUAAAGUGUGCGCAGGCGGCGCCGCAAGUCGAGUGUGAAAGCCCCGGGCUUAACUUGGGAAUUGCGCUCGAAACUAUGGUGCUGGAGUGUGGCAGAGGAAGGUGGAAUUCCACGUGUAGCGGUGAAAUGCGCAGAUAUCAGGAGGAACACCAAUGGCGAAGGCAGCUCGCUGGGACGGUACUGACGCUGAGACGCGAAAGCGUGGGGAGCGAACAGG
This 253-nucleotide ribosomal RNA is filed under the name uncultured bacterium. RNAcentral describes it as "partial 16S ribosomal RNA". It matches the Rfam family "Bacterial small subunit ribosomal RNA", at positions 524 to 776 of the family's 1533-position model. The record is from RNAcentral.